UACGUAGGAUCCGAGCAUUAUCCGGAGUGACUGGGUGUAAAGAGUUGCGUAGGUGGCAUGGAAAGUCGAUAGUGAAAUCUGGUGGCUCAACCAUUUAGGCUAUUAUCGAAACUUCCACGCUCGAGACCGUUAGGGGUAACUGGAAUUUCUAGUGUAGGAGUGAAAUCCGUAGAUAUUAGAAAGAACACCGAUAGCGUAGGCAGGUUACUGGGACGGUUCUGACACUAAGGCACGAAAGCGUAGGGAGCAA
This 250-nucleotide ribosomal RNA is filed under the name uncultured prokaryote. Its description in RNAcentral is "partial 16S ribosomal RNA". It matches the Rfam family "Bacterial small subunit ribosomal RNA", at positions 524 to 771 of the family's 1533-position model. The record is from RNAcentral.